This 253-nucleotide ribosomal RNA is filed under the name uncultured bacterium. RNAcentral's name for it is "partial 16S ribosomal RNA". It matches the Rfam family "Bacterial small subunit ribosomal RNA", at positions 524 to 776 of the family's 1533-position model. The record is from RNAcentral.
UACGGAGGGUGCAAGCGUUAUCCGGAUUCACUGGGUUUAAAGGGUGCGUAGGUGGGUUGGUAAGUCCGUGGUGAAAUCUCCGAGCUUAACUCGGAAACUGCCGUGGAUACUAUCAAUCUUGAAUAUCGUUGAGGUAAGCGGAAUAUGUCAUGUAGCGGUGAAAUGCUUAGAUAUGACCUAGAACACCGAUAGCGGAGGCAGCUUACUAAGCGAUCAUUGACACUGAGGCACGAAAGCGUGGGGAGCAAACAGG